Molecule: long non-coding RNA, 461 nt
Organism: Mizuhopecten yessoensis (Yesso scallop)
Lineage: Eukaryota; Metazoa; Mollusca; Bivalvia; Pectinida; Pectinidae
Exons: 2
Source: RefSeq, a predicted model, not a curated record
GGGGGCAUACUUAGUCGCAUCUCGUGAUCAUUUUGUGGGGCACUGCAAAUCUAUUCUAUUUCCCGAACCUGCACUGGUAGGAUAACUACAUCUAUGCUUGACUAAGCGAGUGGGAGGAGGAUUUGUUUGCUCUAUAGUGUUAAGUGUCCUAAAAACUAAGAUGGUAUUAAAAUAACAUGCCUCCAUAUGUGUAAUGUAUAUGUGCUGAAGGCGGGAUGUUGGUGUUUGUGCUGGAAGUGAUAUAUGUAACAAAAUCGGCCGAUAAUUAGGUAAUAAAUGAAAAUAAAUAUAAAAAAAACUAAUAUUUUUGUAUCAUAAAGUGUUAGGUACAUGUAUCAAUAGAGAGCAGCAUUUUGGUCGAAGGUUCAAUUAAGGUCAAAUCCUAUAAUCGGGUUAUAGCUGUGCCUUGCUUGACAUGUAGACUGUUGCAGGGAUAUAUAGAACAUGCAAGCACGCCCAUU